CAGAGGGUGCAAGCGUUGCUCGGAAUUAUUGGGCGUAAAGGGCAGGUAGGUGGUCUUAUUUGUCUAGGGUGAAAUCCCGGAGCUUAACUUCGGAAGUGCCUUAGAAACGGUAAGACUAGAGUCCUAGAGAGGUUUGUGGAAUUCCCGGUGUAGCGGUGAAAUGCGUAGAGAUCGGGAGGAAUACCAGCAGCGAAGGCGGCAAACUGGAUAGGCACUGACACUCAACUGCGAAAGCGUGGGGAGCAAACAGGAUUAGAUACCCUGGUAGUCCACGCCGUAAACGAUGGGUACUAGGCUUUAUGGGAAUUGACCCCUGUGGAGCCGGAGCUAACGCAAUAAGUACCCCGCCUGGGAAGUACGGUCGCAAGACUA
This 372-nucleotide ribosomal RNA is filed under the name uncultured organism. RNAcentral describes it as "bacterial SSU rRNA". It matches the Rfam family "Bacterial small subunit ribosomal RNA", at positions 526 to 896 of the family's 1533-position model. The record is from RNAcentral.